AGUGAACGCUGGCGGUAGGCCUAACACAUGCAAGUCGAACGGCAGCACAGUAAGAGCUUGCUCUUACGGGUGGCGAGUGGCGGACGGGUGAGGAAUACAUCGGAAUCUACUUUUUCGUGGGGGAUAACGUAGGGAAACUUACGCUAAUACCGCAUACGACCUACGGGUGAAAGCAGGGGAUCUUCGGACCUUGCGCGAUUGAAUGAGCCGAUGUCGGAUUAGCUAGUUGGCGGGGUAAAGGCCCACCAAGGCGACGAUCCGUAGCUGGUCUGAGAGUAUGAUCAGCCACACUGGAACUGAGACACGGUCCAGACUCCUACGGGAGGCAGCAGUGGGGAAUAUUGGACAAUGGGCGCAAGCCUGAUCCAGCCAUACCGCGUGGGUGAAGAAGGCCUUCGGGUUGUAAAGCCCUUUUGUUGGGAAAGAAAAGCAGCAGGUUAAUACCUCGCUGUUCUGACGGUACCCAAAGAAUAAGCACCGGCUAACUUCGUG
Molecule: ribosomal RNA, 492 nt
Filed under: uncultured bacterium
Lineage: Bacteria
Description: partial 16S ribosomal RNA
Rfam family: Bacterial small subunit ribosomal RNA
Source: RNAcentral